This 319-nucleotide long non-coding RNA is filed under the name Dasypus novemcinctus (nine-banded armadillo). Its description in RNAcentral is "lncRNA (ENSDNOG00000052650.1)". The record is from RNAcentral. Lineage: Eukaryota; Metazoa; Chordata; Mammalia; Cingulata; Dasypodidae.
GGCUGCUGCAGUAGCCUGGGCGGGUCCAGGCGUCUGCCCUAAAGGCGUGGGGGGCUCGUCACCCCCUCCAAGGCUUGUCCCCGCUCUCGGGCCGCCGCGGUCACUGCAGCUUCGGACAGCGGCCGGGUAGGACGGCUCCGAGAAUGAAAAUGUGGUUCUUUGAGUGGAUGGUCUCGUUGAUCCUCGCAACUAUGCUUUGCCAUCAGCCCAGAGGGAAGCUGACAACUGUGAAUCCUGAAGCAUAUAUGAAUGUGGUAAGUUCAAAGUAACCUGCUUUAUAACGCCUUUGUGACAAGCGUUUUUUCCUUAAAUCCAUUUG